Molecule: long non-coding RNA, 217 nt
Filed under: Lathyrus oleraceus (garden pea)
Lineage: Eukaryota; Viridiplantae; Streptophyta; Magnoliopsida; Fabales; Fabaceae
Description: Pisum sativum (pea) long non-coding RNA (PSAT_LNC003776)
Source: RNAcentral
AUUUGUGCUAUUAACCUGAAAUACAACUCAAAAGUGAGAUCACAAAGCCAAAACAGAAACUAAAAUUCAACAUGAAGCUCAAUUAAUCAAGUAAUAACGUCCUAAAAUUAAGGGAGCAUGCAAGAUUGAAUUAUUUCUAAGCCUAGGGGUAGAAUAGUCAUUUCACAGUUAGGGAGUAAUAUUGAACCAAAAUUCUAUUUAUAUCUAACCUAGACUA